This 680-nucleotide long non-coding RNA is filed under the name Chrysemys picta bellii (western painted turtle). RNAcentral's name for it is "lncRNA (ENSCPBG00000024328.1)". Lineage: Eukaryota; Metazoa; Chordata; Testudines; Emydidae. The record is from RNAcentral.
AAAAAUAUUUUUUAAAAGUUUUGAACAUUUCAUCAUUUUCUAAAUGAAAAAUUCCAGUUUUCCACUUCAAAAUGAUUUUUGUUUGGUAAUUUAAGAUAAUUACAGUUUUUAAACAUUUUUAAAUAGUUAAAAUCAAAAUGAAACAUUGAAGUUUUCUAAAACAAAACAUGUUGAUGAACCCAAAUUGAUUUUUUCUUCUUUUCAGGUUUUCAGUUCAUGAAAAUUUUUGAGAUUUUUUUCUUUUUUCACAGUUCAGGAUUGGAGCACUUUUUGAUAUCUCAACUUUUCAUGGCAUGAAAAAACUGUUUCCUUACCAGCUUUUCUGGGGGUAUGUUUCACAACUAGCAUACUGCAAAACAUCAUGUGCUAUCAAUGCACAAUGACAAUCCAUACACUGUUACAGUAUGGAACAUCAUUGUUAGACUUCUUCACUGUCCAUCAAUAUGACUAUUACAAUGAACAGCAAGAGCAUCUCUGACCAGUCUGACUGCUACCAUUUAUUUAACCUUUUAUCAGCUACCAGCAAUAUGAAGCUAACAACGAAGAAUGAUGCAAAUUCAAUGAUCCUAUUGACUGAACUGUGGAAUUUUCUCCUUGAGAGAGAGAGAGGUUGAAUGCACUUAUGGAAAAAGAAAGAAGAUCUCUCGGCAGCUUUUGUGCUAUCUUUGUUCUCUGACGAA